RNAcentral lists this microRNA precursor (118 nucleotides) under Ovis aries (sheep). RNAcentral's name for it is "miRNA (ENSOARG00000022276.1)". Lineage: Eukaryota; Metazoa; Chordata; Mammalia; Artiodactyla; Bovidae. The record is from RNAcentral.
UUAUAUAUAUAUAUAUAUAUAUGUGUGUGUGUAUAUAUAUAUAUAUAUAUAUAUAUACACACACACAUAUAUAUAUAUAUAUAUAUACACACACACAUAUAUAUAUAUAUAUAUAUAU